CUUUUGAGAAAUGUUGUGGC
RNAcentral lists this non-coding RNA (20 nucleotides) under Rattus norvegicus (Norway rat). The record is from RNAcentral. Lineage: Eukaryota; Metazoa; Chordata; Mammalia; Rodentia; Muridae.